CGACCGGCCACACUGGGACUGAGACACGGCCCAGACUCCUACGGGAGGCAGCAGUGGGGAAUAUUGCACAAUGGGCGAAAGCCUGAUGCAGCGACGCCGCGUGAGGGAUGACGGCCUUCGGGUUGUAAACCUCUUUCAGCAGGGAAGAAGCGAAAGUGACGGUACCUGCAGAAGAAGCGCCGGCUAACUACGUGCCAGCAGCCGCGGUAAUACGUAGGGCGCGAGCGUUGUCCGGAAUUAUUGGGCGUAAAGAGCUCGUAGGCGGCUUGUCACGUCGGUUGUGAAAGCCCGGGGCUUAACCCCGGGUCUGCAGUCGAUACGGGCAGGCUAGAGUUCGGUAGGGGAGAUCGGAAUUCCUGGUGUAGCGGUGAAAUGCGCAGAUAUCAGGAGGAACACCGGUGGCGAAGGCGGAUCUCUGGGCCGAUACUGACGCUGAGGAGCGAAAGCGUGGGGAGCGAACAGGAUUAGAUACCCUGGUAGUCCACGCCGUAAACGGUGGGCACUAGGUGUGGGCAACAUUCCACGUUGUCCGUGCCGCAGCUAACGCAUUAAGUGCCCCGCCU
Molecule: ribosomal RNA, 563 nt
Filed under: Streptomyces violaceus subsp. violarus
Lineage: Bacteria; Bacillati; Actinomycetota; Actinomycetes; Kitasatosporales; Streptomycetaceae
Description: bacterial SSU rRNA
Rfam family: Bacterial small subunit ribosomal RNA
Source: RNAcentral